AGAGUUUGAUCCUGGCUCAGGAUGAACGCUGGCGGCGUGCUUAACACAUGCAAGUCGAACGGACUCAUACUGAAACCUAGUGAUUUAUGAGUUAGUGGCGGACGGGUGAGUAACGCGUGGAAAACCUGCCGUAUACCGGGGGAUAACACUUAGAAAUAGGUGCUAAUACCGCAUAAGCGCACAGCUUCGCAUGAGGCAGUGUGAAAAACUCCGGUGGUAUACGAUGGUUCCGCGUCUGAUUAGCUAGUUGGCGGGGUAACGGCCCACCAAGGCAGCGAUCAGUAGCCGGCCUGAGAGGGUGAACGGCCACAUUGGGACUGAGACACGGCCCAAACUCCUACGGGAGGCAGCAGUGGGGAAUAUUGCACAAUGGGGGAAACCCUGAUGCAGCGACGCCGCGUGAGUGAAGAAGUAUUUCGGUACGUAAAGCUCUAUCAGCAGGGAAGAAAAUGACGGUACCUGACCAAGAAGCCCCGGCUAACUACGUGCCAGCAGCCGCGGUAAUACGUAGGGGGCAAGCGUUAUCCGGAUUUACUGGGUGUAAAGGGAGCGUAGACGGCAGCGCAAGUCUGGAGUGAAAUGCCGGGGCCCAACCCCGGAACUGCUUUGGAAACUGUGCAGCUUGAGUGCAGGAGAGGUAAGCGGAAUUCCUAGUGUAGCGGUGAAAUGCGUAGAUAUUAGGAGGAACACCAGUGGCGAAGGCGGCUUACUGGACUGUAACUGACGUUGAGGCUCGAAAGCGUGGGGAGCAAACAGGAUUAGAUACCCUGGUAGUCCACGCCGUAAACGAUGAUUACUAGGUGUCGGGGGACCAAGGUGCUCCGGUGCCGGCGCAAACGCAUUAAGUAAUCCACCUGGGGAGUACGUUCGCAAGAAUGAAACUCAAAGGAAUUGACGG
This 898-nucleotide ribosomal RNA is filed under the name uncultured bacterium. Its description in RNAcentral is "bacterial SSU rRNA". It matches the Rfam family "Bacterial small subunit ribosomal RNA", at positions 8 to 916 of the family's 1533-position model. The record is from RNAcentral.